AGAUCUCAAGGUUUCGAAUUGCAAAUUCGAAUAAGGGCUGAAAAGCUCUGAGGUCUU
This 57-nucleotide transfer RNA is filed under the name Leiolepis belliana belliana. RNAcentral describes it as "tRNA-Cys". The record is from RNAcentral. Lineage: Eukaryota; Metazoa; Chordata; Lepidosauria; Squamata; Agamidae.